UUAAAGCGGUACGUGAGCUGGGUUUAGAACGUUGUGAAACAGUUUGGUCCCUAUCUACCGCGAUUUGAAUUGCAGGUGGGCACCCUAGUACGGGAGGAUCGGGUGCCACUGGCCUAUUGUGACCGGUUGUUUUUGAUGUUUCUUUAGCAUUGCCGGGUAGCUACGCCGGUGGGGAUAACCGCUGAAAGCAUAUAAGCGGGAAGCCCCCCCUAAAACAUUCUUGGGAAGUAGCAGAAGACUACAUAGGCGUGAUCGUUUUAUCCUGAAAGG
This 270-nucleotide ribosomal RNA is filed under the name Lotharella globosa. RNAcentral describes it as "partial Bacterial large subunit ribosomal RNA". It matches the Rfam family "Bacterial large subunit ribosomal RNA", at positions 2588 to 2883 of the family's 2925-position model. The record is from RNAcentral. Lineage: Eukaryota; Cercozoa; Chlorarachniophyceae.